This 197-nucleotide small nuclear RNA is filed under the name Jatropha curcas. RNAcentral describes it as "U2 spliceosomal RNA". It matches the Rfam family "U2 spliceosomal RNA". Rfam says of the family: U2 is a small nuclear RNA (snRNA) component of the spliceosome (involved in pre-mRNA splicing). Complementary binding between U2 snRNA (in an area lying towards the 5' end but 3' to hairpin I) and the branchpoint sequence (BPS) of the intron results the bulging out of an unpaired adenosine, on the BPS, which initiates a nucleophilic attack at the intronic 5' splice site, thus starting the first of two transesterification reactions that mediate splicing. Lineage: Eukaryota; Viridiplantae; Streptophyta; Magnoliopsida; Malpighiales; Euphorbiaceae. The record is from Rfam by way of RNAcentral.
AUACCUUUCUCGGCCUUUUGGCUAAGAUCAAGUGUAGUAUCUGUUCUUAUCAGUUUAAUAUCUGAUACGUAGGCCAUUGGCCUACAUGAUAUUAAAUUAAUUUUUCCAUUGGGGAGGGCCCGUCACAGUAGCUUGCUACUGGGGUCCUUACGCGUCGCCCAUGCCUUGCACUAAAGCAAGGGCCUGGCGCUCCCGCU